GACGAACGCUGGCGGCGUGCUUAACACAUGCCAGUCGAACGGAAAGGCCCUGCUUUUGUGGGUUGCUCGAUUGGCGAACGGGUGAGUGACACGUGUGUAACCUGCCCUUGACUUUGGGAUAACUUCACGAAACUGGGGCUCUUACCGGGUAGGAGCUCCUGCUGCAUGGUGGUGGUUGGAAAGAUUCGGCGGUUGGGGAUGGACUCGCGGCUUAUCAGCUUGUUGGUGUGGUAGUGGCUUACCAAGGCUUUGACGGGUAGCCGGCCUGAGAGGUUGGACGGCGACCUUGGGACUGCGGUACGGAGCAGUCGGCUAUGGGACGCAGUAGGCGGGAGUAUGACACAAUGGGGGGAAGUCUGAUGCAGCAGCGCCCCGAUCGGGAUGACGGCUUACGGGUGGUAAACCGCUUUGGAAGGAGACGAAGAGAGAGUGACGGUAAUGGAUCAAGAAGCAACGGCUAACUACGUG
This 468-nucleotide ribosomal RNA is filed under the name uncultured bacterium. Its description in RNAcentral is "partial 16S ribosomal RNA". It matches the Rfam family "Bacterial small subunit ribosomal RNA", at positions 28 to 507 of the family's 1533-position model. The record is from RNAcentral.